Molecule: ribosomal RNA, 484 nt
Filed under: uncultured bacterium
Lineage: Bacteria
Description: partial 16S ribosomal RNA
Rfam family: Bacterial small subunit ribosomal RNA
Source: RNAcentral
AUUGAACGCUGGCGGCAGGCCUAACACGUGCAAGUCGAGCGGAUGAAGGGAGCUUGCUCCUGGAUUCAGCUGCGGACGGGUGGGUAAUUCCUAGGAAUCUGCCUUGUAUUUGGGGCUAACGUCCGGACACGGGCGCUAAUACCGCAUACGUCCUUAGGGUGAACGUGGGGGAUCUUCGGACCUCACGCUAUCAGAUGAGCCUAGGUCGGAUUAGCUAGUUGGUGGGGUAAAGGCCUACCAAGGCGACGAUCCGUAACUGGUCUGAGAGGAUGAUCAGUCACACUGGAACUGAGACACGGUCCAGACUCCUACGGGAGGCAGCAGUGGGGAAUAUUGGACAAUGGGCGAAAGCCUGAUCCAGCCAUGCCGCGUGUGUGAAGAAGGUCUUCGGAUUGUAAAGCACUUUAAGUGGGGAAGAAGAGCAGUAAGUUAAUACCUUGCUGUUUUGACGGUACCAAAAGAAUAAGCACCGGCUAACUUCGUG